Molecule: long non-coding RNA, 825 nt
Filed under: Citrus x clementina
Lineage: Eukaryota; Viridiplantae; Streptophyta; Magnoliopsida; Sapindales; Rutaceae
Description: Citrus clementina (C. clementina) long non-coding RNA (CCLE_LNC000191)
Source: RNAcentral
UUUCUCUCAUUUCAGUUAGUGAAUUUCUCUCAUUUGAGUACGAGAGUUCUUUGUGUUCAGGAAGAAAGGCAAAAUUCAAACGAGUUUCAGUUUCUGCAUCUCAUAAAUUCUGCCUCAGCACCUCACAAAUUUUGUCUCUGCAUCUCAGUUAUCACAAGGAAUAAAUUAGAUUUAGAUCUACAAAUAGAGGUGAGAAAUGUUUAAAUGGUUAGAAUAUUUAAUUUAAAUUACAAAAAUUCGUAGAUUUUUAUUUUUUAUAUAUUUAAAUUGUUAUGCAUUGUUGUGAUUUUUUUAAUUUAAAUGGCUGGAAAUAAUGGAAUAGAUUAUAAUAAUUUAUGAAUGUGUUUUAUAUAUGUUAGGAUUUGUUAAAUUUAAAUUGCUGAAAAUAAUGGAAUAAAUUAUAACAAUUUCCGGAUGUGUUUUAUAUAUUUAAGUUGUUAGGAUUUUAUAAUUUAAAUUGUUGGAGAUAAUGGAAUAAAUUAUAAAAAUUUGUAGAUGUGUUUUAUAUAUUUAAAUUGUUAGGAAUUUUCGUUACCGGACAAAAUGUUAUAUAAGUUUCUUAAUACAAAUGUUAAUUAUUUUGUAGAAAUGGAGUAUUUGGAAAAUGAGCAUGCAUUUGAAGAGUUGCAAGAAACAAGAGUUAACGAUGUAAAUGAAAUUGUGUAAUGUAAUAUGAUGCUUAUUUUUAUGUAUUAUAGCAAUCAGUCCCACCAUAUACAUCGCAGUUGCAUUAUUAUUCUUCUUCGAUGACUCAUCAAGGAUCUCAAAGUGAGAAUUUCCAACAGUUACUACAGCAGCAGCAGCGUAAUGAAGAUAACAAUAAUG